AGGGGCGUAGAAUGGGCCUCGACCUGGACUUCCAUACCAUACCAUAUCAUAUCACAUCAUAUCAUACGAGGACUAAAGGAUCAUCCAACACCCAUCCACAUCAUCAUCAUAUUAUGCAAUGCAACAUAUUCGUGAAUUCUAAUGCAAGCACCCUAGUAUAUCUCAUGGCAUUCAUGAUGCGUGAAUCAUGCUAAGAACUGAUUUAUUUACUUUAAAGCAUAAAGAGUUAUUCCACUCACCUUAGG
RNAcentral lists this long non-coding RNA (245 nucleotides) under Manihot esculenta (cassava). RNAcentral describes it as "long non-coding RNA (MESC_LNC010425)". The record is from RNAcentral. Lineage: Eukaryota; Viridiplantae; Streptophyta; Magnoliopsida; Malpighiales; Euphorbiaceae.